This 474-nucleotide ribosomal RNA is filed under the name uncultured bacterium. RNAcentral describes it as "bacterial SSU rRNA". It matches the Rfam family "Bacterial small subunit ribosomal RNA", at positions 33 to 507 of the family's 1533-position model. The record is from RNAcentral.
GACGACGCUGGCGGCGUGCCUAACACAUGCAAGUCGAGCGGGGUUGAAGCGAGGGGUAACUCGGACUUCUACCUAGCGGCGGACGGGUGAGUAACGCGUGGGCAACCUGCCUCAAGGUUUGGGAUAACAGCUCGAAAGGGCUGCUAAUACCGGAUAUGCCUGUGGCCUCGCAUGGGGCUAUGAGCAAAGGGGAAACCCGCCUUGAGAUGGGCCCGCGUCCCAUCAGCUAGUCGGUGAGGUGAAGGCUCACCAAGGCGACGACGGGUAGCCGGCCUGAGAGGGUGACCGGCCACACUGGGACUGAGACACGGCCCAGACUCCUACGGGGGGCAGCAGUGGGGGAUCUUGCACAAUGGGCGAAAGCCUGAUGCAGCGACGCCGCGUGAGCGAAGAAGGCCUUCGGGUUGUAAAGCUCUGUCUGGAGGGACGAAGAAAAUGACGGUACCUCCGGAGGAAGCCACGGCUAACUACGUG